GGAGCCUGGGCUGUGCUUUCCGCUCUCCAGCUGAUUCCAAUACACACCAAAGUUUGAGAACCACAGUCAAAGCUGCAGCAGCCACCCUGUGUCUGAAGGAAAUUCAGAGACACUGGUCACCAGAUGAGACGCUGAAGCAAUCCUAGCAGUCACUUACCUUCAGGCUGCUUGCUAUGUGCAAAGAAAAAAAAAAAGCUACUUAAGAUAUUUUAAGUAAUUGUGGCUGAAAGCGUUGUCGGUUGAUACACAGCCAAAUCAAAAGAGGAAUCACAACCAAUUAUAAUGUCCCCAAUGCCCAUAGAAUCAAAAUGUUCCAGUUGCUCAGAAGAAAUUCAACUUAGGCCCCGAGGCCAAAGAAAAAUUACUCCCCUAGGCCUGCAUGAAGGAGACACUGCUUGCUGUGUUAUCUUCUCAGGCUGUACACUCACCCACCCUGACAGCCUCCAAACUGUAUUGAAACCGUGCUGCCUUUUAAGAAGAGCAAUAGUCUCCUUUGAGGUCAGAACUUCGAAGUACUGCUCGAUAGUCAGAACUGGUCAUGGGAAGUCAACAGAGAGCAGCCCUGAAUGGAGCAACGUUGGGCCCGGCAAUGCAGGUGCAGCUCCUGAGUCAAAAUGUUACCUGACUUGGGCACUUUUCCAGCCAGGAUGUGGAUCUCUUAGCAGCCAGAGGCUCUGGGACACUGGAUGUGAGCCAGCCUACCUGUGGGCAGCAUAAUGGAACUUGAAGACAAAGGAAAGGUCCCACCCAGCACCAAAUAUUUCCUUCAGAUGCCUUUCCUAGUGAGACUGCUUUGCUUUGAUCAUGCAGUCAGAGGAUGCUCCUGUAUUGAGAUGGCCUGCAAUUCCAG
Molecule: long non-coding RNA, 850 nt
Filed under: Equus caballus (horse)
Lineage: Eukaryota; Metazoa; Chordata; Mammalia; Perissodactyla; Equidae
Description: lncRNA (ENSECAG00000059440.1)
Source: RNAcentral